Molecule: ribosomal RNA, 495 nt
Filed under: uncultured bacterium
Lineage: Bacteria
Description: partial 16S ribosomal RNA
Rfam family: Bacterial small subunit ribosomal RNA
Source: RNAcentral
GACGAACGCUGGCGGCGUGCCUAAUACAUGCAAGUAGAACGCUGAAGGAGGAGCUUGCUUCUCUGGAUGAGUUGCGAACGGGUGAGUAACGCGUAGGUAACCUGCCUGGUAGCGGGGGAUAACUAUUGGAAACGAUAGCUAAUACCGCAUAAUAGUAGAUGUUGCAUGACAUUUGCUUAAAAGGUGCAAUUGCAUCACUACCAGAUGGACCUGCGUUGUAUUAGCUAGUUGGUGGGGUAACGGCUCACCAAGGCGACGAUACAUAGCCGACCUGAGAGGGGGGACGGCCACACUUGGACUGAGACACGGCCCAGACUCCUACGGGAGGGAGCAGGAGGGAAUCUUCGGCAAUGGACGGAAGGCUGACCGAGCAACGCCGCGGGAGUGAAGAAGGUUUUCGGAUCGUAAAGCUCGGUUGUAAGAGAAGAACGAGUGUGAGAGUGGAAAGUUCACACUGUGACGGUAUCUUACCAGAAAGGGACGGCUAACUACGUG